Molecule: transfer RNA, 76 nt
Filed under: Pseudoflavonifractor capillosus
Lineage: Bacteria; Bacillati; Bacillota; Clostridia; Eubacteriales; Oscillospiraceae
Also listed under: 12 other names
Description: tRNA-Lys
Rfam family: tRNA
About the family: Transfer RNA (tRNA) molecules are approximately 80 nucleotides in length. Their secondary structure includes four short double-helical elements and three loops (D, anti-codon, and T loops).
Source: RNAcentral
GACCCAGUAGCUCAGUUGGCAGAGCACCUGCCUUUUAAGCAGGGUGUCCGGAGUUCGAAUCUCCGCUGGGUCACCA